ACGCUGGCGGCGUGCCUAACACAUGCAAGUCGAACGGACGAGGGGAGCUUGCUCCCCGAGUUAGUGGCGAACGGGGUGAGUAACGCGUGAGCAACCUGCCUUUCAGAGGGGGGACAACGGUUGGAAACGACCGCUAAUACCGCAUGAAGCAAUCGGACCGCAUGAUCUGAUUGCCAAAGAUUUUUAUCGCUGAAAGAUGGGCUCGCGUCUGAUUAGAUAGUUGGUGGGGUAACGGCUCACCAAGUCGACGAUCAGUAGCCGGACUGAGAGGUUGAACGGCCACAUUGGGACUGAGAUACGGCCCAGACUCCUACGGGAGGCAGCAGUGGGGAAUAUUGGGCCAAUGGGGGAAACCCUGACCCAGCAACGCCGCGUGAAGGAAGAAGGCUUUCGGGUUGUAAACUUCUUUUACCAGGGACGAAGGACGUGACGGUACCUGGAGAAAAAGCCACGGCUAACUACGUGCCAGCCGCCGC
RNAcentral lists this ribosomal RNA (476 nucleotides) under uncultured bacterium. RNAcentral's name for it is "bacterial SSU rRNA". It matches the Rfam family "Bacterial small subunit ribosomal RNA", at positions 33 to 518 of the family's 1533-position model. The record is from RNAcentral.